GAGUAGAGGUUGCGUAAAUCAAGAGUAACCUGCCGGAUGCCUCAGGGGGCAAGAGAAGGCGGGCGAAAGGGAGGCACGCCGAAGGAAGAGAUGUCCUGAACAUAUUUUCCUGGGCGCAGAGUGAAGAAUUCUGUGACUGUCAUCCUUAUGGAUGGGGAGCUACUA
Molecule: non-coding RNA, 165 nt
Filed under: uncultured Lachnoclostridium sp.
Lineage: Bacteria; Bacillati; Bacillota; Clostridia; Lachnospirales; Lachnospiraceae
Description: Lysine riboswitch
Rfam family: Lysine riboswitch aptamer
About the family: Riboswitches are metabolite binding domains within certain messenger RNAs that serve as precision sensors for their corresponding targets. Allosteric rearrangement of mRNA structure is mediated by ligand binding, and this results in modulation of gene expression. This family includes riboswitches that sense lysine in a number of genes involved in lysine metabolism, including lysC.
Source: RNAcentral